GAAAAUGUCUAAAAAUUUCUUAUAUAAAAUUUCACUCAAAAAAUUUCCCCAAAUAUUAGAAUUAAUGGAAAUAUUUCCCACCCAAUACAAUAAUCACAAUAAUCUAAUGAAAUCAUGUCCUUUCCCCAAUUCUUUUCUCUCACUGCAGCUUCACCUUAAUUGCCUCCUUAACCUAAUUCAUUCCUUCCAAUUAUCUCUUGCAUGUGUCUUCUGAUUACUCUCACCCAUAUAUUACAAAUCUCCAUCCUUUUCUCUAUUGGUAAGUAUUUUUGUGCUCAAAACUUUACUUUUUUUGUUUUCAAUUUUUAGUUUUAUUCUUAUACUUUUAGAUUCAUUUUUUAGUUCUUUUACUAAUUUAGAUGAACAAUAAUCUUUUAUUGUGUAUAAUAUUUGGGUAUCUCGGUAUAAUCUUUGUUUUAUACUCAAAGUUUUAAACUUUUAUAAUCUUAGAUUCUUGGGCCAAAAAUAAGUAAUUUUGUUUUGUUUAAUUUUUAGGUAUGCUUCGUUAGUUGGGGUUUUGGUUUAUACUAAUUUGUACUGUAAAUUUAUUGAUAUGUACUGUUUUGGACCUUUAUUUUUUUGUUUUUUUUUUUGUAAAAUCUACUAGGCAAUAUGCCUAGGGCUAGUUUUUUAUAUAUAAAGAAAAACACAAAUCCUGUGAAAUAGAAGGCAUAGACUUUGUAGAAUACAUAUGUCCUAUUAUUAAAAUUGAGUAGUGCACUCAAAUUUGAUAUCACAACGACUCUAAUACCCUUUUUAUAUGACACUCAUUAGCAGCCCAAUCCAUAUGUGUGUAUUUGUAGCCAAUGUUAUUUUCCCUUGUAGUUGUCGACAGUAGAACCCCAACUAUAUCCAAUUCUAAGCCUCCCCAAGCCCAACUGCUGGUCCAUUUAUGUAUUGCAUUUGUGUAGAUACUCCCCUUGUUACAUGUGUUGUUUUUAUUUGCUCGUCUUUAUUAUCAACAUAGGAAGUAACGACCUCCCAUCUUCUUACUUUGAGUCUUAGUGUUGUUCCAGUUUUUCCAUGGAGUUUGGUGGUCCGCCAUUGCAUCACACUGUUAUUCCACCUUCCCCGGAGCUCAGGUGUAUACCUGUAGUUGCUAUCUGCUGCAUGUGGAUGUAUUGUUGUCUUAAUGCCUGGAUAUAGUUCAGAUCGACUAUCAUUGUUGCAUUUCUUUCGCUGAUGAAAAGUGGAUUGCCAAGACCUAUAUAUGAUGGUACUACAUAGCUGAAUGCCUGCUUUGCCUCCUUUGUAUUGCAUGUUGAGGAUUUUGCCAACUGUGCUGCAUUACUGCCCAAAAUUCCUUGCACAAUCCUGUAAUUUCUGUAGCUCGGCCUGCUCAUGAUGCAGGCUGUCACUAUGAUGCGUAUGCUUAUAACAUUUCCUUCUUCUAGGGAAUGAGCACAUAAUGCUAAUAUCACCCAUAGAAGUUGUAAUGAGUGAUAAGGACCAAUGUUAUUAGCUUUUCUUGCAAAAAAGAAAGUAAUGUUAAAGUAAAAGAUGGUCUUCAUCACCUCUUCUUGUUGUAUUUUGCUUUUUUGUUUUGUUUCUUGUUUUUCAUGAGAAUAAUGAGUCCUCAAAUAUGCCUGGCUCCCUGUAUGUUGUGCAUUGUGUCCCUCCAUAUGUUGAUCUGUUUUUUUCCACAGGUGCAUCAUCCAGCUGAUUUCCCUUUUCUCAGAAGAUCGACGAUCUACUGUCUGCAUGCUGUGUGCAUGUGUGACUUCAUUACUUUCAUUGCUUUCAUUUAGUGUUUGUUGUUGUUGUGCUUCUUUUGUGAGUGUCUUCUUGGUCUGAAAUUGAUUAGUACCACUGUAGCUCACAUAAGUGAAAACCUGAAUGUGCAUUUGCUCCCCAUGCUUCUUUAUGUCUCGAGUUAUCAUGCUUGUGCCUUCCCUUGCUUCCCUCUCCAUGGGUUGAGUACAAAGUACUGAUACCACCAAGUGAGAGUUGUUCAAAGGGUAGGGCAUGAUCACAGUAACAUUCCCUGCAAAAAAAAAAAAAAAUUAGGUUAGUAAUAAAAUCCAGCUUUCCUCUUGUUCCUACUACUCCUUUCCUCCUCUCCUCCUAUCAUCCUGUAACCUUUACUCUAAUGUAUGGACAUUGACUUUUAUCACUAUUCACAAUUUUCCUCCCAUUGACAUCCAAAUCUCCAAAUUCAGUACAUUCCAUUAUGCCAACAUUUAAAGUAUAAUUGGCUAUAUGAUCUGCCAGCUGAUUUCCUUCUCUCAGUGAGUGAGAGAUCCUGAGUGUGCAUCUGUUCAUUAGUUCCAUUAUUUCCUCCACAUAAGCUACCACAGACCAUGGAGCAUUCCAUUCACCCGUUAUGAUUUUAUUUGCUAGCAUUGACUCUGUGUGCAGGUCAAUUAGAAUAUAAUCAUGUUCAAUGCAGUAUCUUAAGGCUUCCAAGAUAGCUUGCAUUUCAGCAUAUGUAUUAGUACCCUCCUGCACUUCUCUACCAUAGACAUAGACUACAUUUCCUUCAUCAUUCCUUAGAACAUAGCCUAUAAAGCUUCUUCCUGGAUUACCCCUAGAAGCUCCAUCAGCAUUAACCUUUAUCCAACCUUCCUCAGGUAACUCCCAUAACACCUUAGUGUAUUUUAACUUAGGUGUGUAGUAUUCCAGCAAUUGCAGCAAGUCUGACCAUUUAUGUGGUACAUUUUGCAAAUUUGGCUUCUUGAAUUUCACCAGAUACUGAAUUGUAGUUGAUACAAGGUAAAUGACUAUAUUCCAUGUGACUGCUUCUCCCUGUUUAAAUGAGUUUCUCCUUUUCCAUAAUUUCCACACAAUAAUCGAAGGUAAACCUGCACAAUUGGUUGCAGCCUUGGGAUCACCAAUGCAGUCCAACAUUUCACCAUUGCUUGGUGUAAUGUUAUUCUUGCAAUAUUAAUUCCUGUCGCUGUCUCCACUCUCCACACCUUCCUGGUAGUAUAGGAAGUGAAAAGAAAAUGAGUGAGAGUUUCUUCCUGUGGUAGCACACAACACCAGCAUCUGGAAGGCAUAUGAAAUCCUAUUCUCAUGAAAAAAACAUCUAGAGGCAAUUUGUUCUUCCAAACCUUCCAGAUAAAGAAUGAUACCUUAAAAGGUAAUCCUUUCACCCAAAUCAUCCUAUAGGCUCUACUAGGAUCCCUCCUUCUCUUGGAGUAAUCCCAGGCAGACCUCACACUAAAUUCUCCCCUUGUUUCCACCAUCCAAAAUGGUUUAUCCAACACCAUAUUUUCUGUUGGAGGUUUAAUGUUCUACAAUAUAUGACUAGCCAGGUCUGUAGGUAACAGGUUCCUCAAUUUAUGUUCAUUCCAGCUCCUCCCAUUUAUGACUUCAUUAACAUUUUGAACUGACUCAUCACAGAAAAAAUCAGGUGAUGUAAAGAAAUAUAAAGCUACCAAACUAGUCCAAUUUUCAAACUAAAAGAGUGCAGAACCCAUUUUAGGCUGCCACAUGGUUUGGUGUUCAAUGCUAUCUCUACACUUUAGCAUUUUUCUCUAGAUGUGAGAUCUAUAUUUCCAUGGAACAACAGUGGGAUUUAACUUUUUGCAGUACUUUUGACAUAUGAAUGCACUCCAGUGAUGAUUUUGUUCUAAAAUUCCACCAUAACUUACAAAAUAGUGCCUUAGAGACAUCAUGUAGUGAUCUUAAACGAAUUUCCCCUUCCUCAUGUGGUAAGCAUAAUGUAUCCAAUGAAGCCCAACGUCUACUGCCUCCUUCUAUUGAACUGCUCCAGAAAAAUCUAGCCAUAAGUUUGUGCAAUUUAUUAAUCACAGAUGCUGGUGCAUUAACUGCAGACAGUAUAUGAAUAGGCAUACUAUAAAUCACAUGAGAGAUUAACACUACCCUUCCCCAUAUUGACAGCAUUUUGCCCUUCCAAGAUUGUAGUUUAUCCAGCACUUUCUUAAUUAGGCCAUUAUAGUAUUCCAUUUUUCUUCUGACAUAAAAAAUAGGACAUCCCAAGUAGGUAAAUAGGAAUUCCCGUGUCUUCAUCCCUGUCACCCUUUCCACCUUGUUGAUCACUGAUUCAUUGGUAACAUGAUGCAAGUAAAUUACAGAUUUACUUGUACUGAUCACUUGCCCUGAAGCUGCUUCAUAUGCUGCUAAAACCUGCAUAUUAGCUGCAGUAAAGUUUCAUCUGAUGAGGAAAAUAUUAUAGUAUCAUCUACAUAUGCCAAGUGAUUAAUCUUAGGGCUCCAUUUAGAUAACCCAAAGCCACAAAAAUAUAGAUUGGAGUGCAAUUCAUUUAACCCUCUUGACAAAGCUUCUGUUGCGAGAAUAAACAAUGUAGGUGAUAAGGAGUCUCCUUGCUUUACCCCUCUGGUAGAGUUGAAAAAACCAUUUGGCUGCCCAUUGAUCAAAAUUAAAUACCAGUUAUUAGAUAUCAACCCAAACACCCGGCCUAUAAAUCUUUUAGAAAACCCCAUCUUUCUUAGCACUUUAGUCAAAAAUAUCCAUGAAAGUCUGUCAUAAGCCUUCAUAAUAUCCAGCUUUAUUACCACAUUUAGUCCUGCCUUAGUUCUCAGCCUUAUAUCAGUUACAAUCUCCUGUGUCAAUAGGACAUUCUCUACAAUUCUUCUACCCAUUACAAAACCUUCUUGCUCAUCAGAUAUUAGGUUAGGUAAUAGACCAGCUAACCUCUAAUGAAUGACUCUUAAAAAGAUCUUUUUGACAAAGUUGCUGAAACUGAUUGGUCUCAUAUCAGAAAAAUGUGCACACCUCCUUCAUCUUAGGUAUCAAGACUAGGUUUGUAUGAGUGAUAAACCUACGUAAUUCUUGUCCAUUAAAGAAAGUCCUUACCAUUUAUACAAUGUCAUCACCUAUAAUUUCCCAACAGCUACGAAAGAAGCUACCAUUAAAACUAUCGGGGCCUCCUGCACUAUCACCAUUAAGUCCAUAUACUGCUUGCUUAACCUCAUCUCUAGUAGGUUUCCUCAAUAGUUCCUGAUUUUAUUCUGCAGUCACUAUGUGUGGCACAUGGUCAAUGAUUCUAAAAUUUGUUGGAACAACCUCUUCAUGAAAUUAUUUAUGGAAGAACUGUACAUCCUCAUUAGCCAAUUCUUCUCUAUCAUCUAUCCAGACUCCUUGAGCAUCUUGUAGUCUUUUCAGCUGUAGUCUCUUUCUUCUCCCAUUCACAUGAGCAUGGAAAAUUUUUGUAUUUCUGUCUCCAUCACUAAUCCAGUUCAUACCAGACUUUUGCUUCCAAAACUUCUCCUCCAAGGCCAAAUAUUUGAAUAGAUCAGCUUGUACCUUUUUAAGUCUCUCCUUGUUCUGUAGCGUAGGAAGUAACUCAAAUUGAGCUUCAUGCACUCUAACUAUCUCCUCCAAAGUAGCUAUUUUCUAAAAUAUGUCCCCAAAUGUAGCCCUACUCCAUAUCGACAAUGCUUUCUUCAGUUUUUUUUUAUCUUGUGAUUAAAUAGAAUGAAGGGAUUUGCAUGGAAAUCAGCAUGCCAAUUCUCUUGCACUACUGACUUGAAUGACUCUUGUUUAGUCCAAAACUUCACAAACCUGAAGCUUUUCUUUAUUGGAACUGAAUCUAGUUUGUAUGUGAUCAAAAGUGUGCAAUGAUCAGAACCAAUCUUGGACAGGUGAGACUUCCAUUCCUUGCCAUACCUGUUGAGCUUCGAAGUUAGCAAAUACCCUGUCCAAUCUCUUGAAAAUACAAUCAUCUUCUGCACAACCAUUCCACCAAGUAUAUAUGCUUCCCUUAUAGCCAAUAUCUGAUAAGUUACAUGUAUUCAUACAAUGUCAAAAAUAAUCAACUUCAUUUGGUGGUACUGGCAGCCCUCCAAACUUCUCCUCUUCAUCCCAGAUUACAUUGAAAUCCCCUCCCACUAGCCAUGGCAUAGUCAUAUCCCUAGCUAGGUGGUAAGAGAGUCCCAUAGUUCAAUUCUCUCAAUGUGAUCACAUUUAGCAUAUAUCAGAGUGAUCAUGAAUUCCUUCUGUUCUUCUGUAUCAUAUAAUUUCAAAGUUAAUUGUUUUACUGAAUUGAUUUUCGUUGUCACAUCAUAUUUACCAUCUAUAAAGGCCUAGAUCUUGUUAGAUGUAUUAACAAAGGCUUGUUCAAAAUCAAUCUCCCUCAUGUAUCUAUCCAACUUCUUUGAUUGGUGCAUUGGUUCCGUUAAUCCUAUGAAAUCAAAAUGGUGUUCUCUAUGCAUUGUUAUCAGUCUUUCAAAGGCUCUUUGAGUUUUGACUAACCUAGUAUUCCAUAUUAAAGCAUUCAUCUCUAAUUAAUGGAUUUAGAUAAAGUCCUCCUUGUUUGGACCCCAGCUGGUAAACUACUAGGGACCUCUUUCACCUGUUUUUUCUUGCCUCUUCCUACUAAUCUACCCUUUUCCAUGUACCUAGAUGAUAUAUGCCCUUGCCUAGCCACAUUUCUAAAAUUUUGACAGGUUGACUCUGCAUCUAGAUCUUUUUCUUUUCCCACUGCUUCAUCCUCCAUGUUUCUUUUUUUUUUUCCUGUAACAAUCUGAUUUUCAAUUGGCUUGAGUAUCAUGAUUUUAUCUACAUUUCCUUUAGCCAACUGAUUAGGAGUCUGAUCAUUAUCAUUCUGCACAUCAAUAACUACUGUUUCCUUUUCAACCACUCCAUCCUUUACUAGCUUUUGUUACAUCUCGCCUUUUAUAGUAUCACCAAGAUCAAUUGGUUCAGUAACUUAGGACCAUGGUAGGAUCCAUGGUUAAGUUAGGAUUGUCAGGCUGCUGAACCUUAGAAAUUAAUCCUGCAAUCUCAACUGAAUUAUCAUAUUUAUCUUCAGUAUUUUCAUCUGUUUGUAAAUCUCCUUUAUGAUUGUUCCCAUUGACAAUGACUUCUUACUGUUGAGCCUCCUCUUCUGGUGACACUUCCUCUUCAUAUCCUUCAGAUAAAUCACCUUCAUCUAGAUCUUCUUCUGUCUGAUUAGUCCAUAGUUUUCCUCCUGUCCAAUUUACUUUUUGUUUCAGCACUUCCUGCUUAGCUAUUUCUUUUGGAUAUGUUGUCAGUGAUGCUAUAUCCUGACAUGAAUGAUUCUUAGUAAUAUUGUUGAUUACAAAAGUUCUAUUAACCUAUUGAGUCGUGGACUCUUUUCUUUGUUCAUGGUUCCUCUCUCUUGUAUGUUCUGCUUCCUUUGUACCAUUCUUCUCCUUUCUUGACUUAGUUCCAGCUGCCUUAGGCUUAAAGCAGCUGAUGCAUUGAGGGAUCUCCCUGUUGCCUGAGUAGCUGUUGUUAGACUUGACACAUUGGUAGGGUGCACUAAUGCUCUAGUUGAUUAGCUUCAUUUGUUUCACCUUCUUCAUUCAUUAGAACUGCAAACUUGUUUGUCAAUUGAACCUGCUGAAUAUCUGUCACAAUAGCUGCAGUCAUCUCUUUGCCAGUGAUAUUUCGCUGUUUUGCUGAUUAAUGAUAAUCUCUGUGGGGGCUAUUUCCUUCCCUGUAGUACCUCCACUUUUUUUCACUUUCUUAGGAUCAACUAAAUAAUUUCUUUAGCCGUUUGGACUUGAUCAACAACCUGUUUUGCAUUAUUCCUCAAUCGAUUGUCCCUCACUUCUUUCAACUGUUCUCCAACAUUCCCAACCACCUUUCCACUAGUUAAUAUCAUAAUUGGAUUCUUUGCAUUAUUCUGACUAUCACUCCUAAUAUUAUCUGCAUUUUUCUCCUUGUCAAAUUCCACAAAGAGUUUUGGAUGCAAUCUCCAACAGGUUUCCUCGUUGUGGCCUUGCAAUUUACACUCCUUUCUAUACUUAGGAACAUAUUCAUAUUACACCUUCAUCCAUUGAGUUCUCACCUUUCCAUUAGUCUCAUCCACAAUUCCAUUCUUACUCUUUGAGGUAAUUCUUCUGAUAAGUCAAUUUGCACCUUAACUCGUGCACAAUUUGGUCUUGUUUUGUUUACUUCAGCCAUGUCUAAGUGCAAAGGGAUGCCAACAGCUGAAGCUAAAGAAAAUAAGCACUUUGACAAAGAAGGUAGGUAAUAAAUUUGGAAACGAAAUCCAUUCCAUCACCUUAGGUGUUUCUUGACCUAUCUUGAAUUUGUAAUCAUAAAUCAAGGUUCUCAUCAGAUAUUCAUACCCGUCCUUAGCUUUUAAAUAAAUAGCUCCCUUAGAUGAAAGAUUAGUGAAGUCCUCUAACAAUGUUAAUCUAAUUAAUACAUGACGAUCUCUCAACAAACCAAUAUUACACUCACACGUGAUCCCACAUUGAAUUGGAAGGAUUCGUCUGAUCUCCUGCAAAUCUGGCUAACCAUAAAAAUUUUUUACAAGAACUGCAUAUUGAAGUCCCUGGAUUAUAUUCAUCUUCUCCACUUCUGCUUUCGUCCACUUGAUUAUGGGUUGUCCAUUAACGUAUUCCACAGGUUUCCUGGGAAUUGGGUUGACGGAGUUUGCUAUUGAACUCGACAUAUACAUGGCAGUAUUUAAUGUAGCAAGUUUCAAUAGUUUCGAGUAUUCUAAAGGCUUGAUGUUGUUGUUUGUGAUCGUUGGGGGCUGGACAGUGAUGAUGGGAGGCUGACCAGUCAGAAAUGGCUAGCCGCCGGCCAGAUUGGCAUUGGAAGCAAAACGCGAAGCUUGCUCUCUCUAGAUCACCAAAAUCGCUAGAACCUCUUUCUCUAGACUCCAACUCAAGAGUUCUCCUAUACUAUAUUAACUGCUUAUAAUAUAAAAGAGUAUUUUCUUUUUUAG
RNAcentral lists this long non-coding RNA (8635 nucleotides) under Nicotiana benthamiana. RNAcentral's name for it is "long non-coding RNA (NBEN_LNC016555)". Lineage: Eukaryota; Viridiplantae; Streptophyta; Magnoliopsida; Solanales; Solanaceae. The record is from RNAcentral.